GAUGAACGCUGGCGGUAUGCUUAACACAUGCAAGUCGAACGGACUCUUCGGAGUUAGUGGCGGACGGGUGAGUAACGCGUGAGAAUCUGGCUUUGGGUUCGGGACAACCACUGGAAACGGUGGCUAAUACCGGAUGUGCCGAGAGGUAAAAGAGAAAUUGCCUGAAGAUGAGCUCGCGUCUGAUUAGCUAGUUGGUGAGGUAAAGGCUCACCAAGGCAGCGAUCAGUAGCUGGUCUGAGAGGAUGACCAGCCACACUUGGACUGAGACACGGCCCAGACUCCUACGGGAGGCAAGAGGGGGGAAUUGUCCGCAAAGGGCGAAAGCCUGACGGGGCAAUACCGCGUGAGGGAAGGAGGCUCUUGGGGUGUAAACCUUUUUUCUUAGGGAAGAACAAAAUGACGGUACCUAAGGAAUCAGCAUCGGCUAACUCCGUG
Molecule: ribosomal RNA, 435 nt
Filed under: uncultured bacterium
Lineage: Bacteria
Description: partial 16S ribosomal RNA
Rfam family: Bacterial small subunit ribosomal RNA
Source: RNAcentral